CUCCCCCGCCCGCCCGCACGGCCGCCCCACGCUUAACCCUCGACGCACCGGAGGAGGAAGGAGGAGGGAGAAGAGAUGGAGAGGAUGGUGAAGAGGAAGGAGAGAGGAGAGGAGGAAGAGGAGAGGGAGGGAGGAGGAAGAAGAGAUGGAGAAGGAGGAAAGCCAAGAAGAGUAGGAAUAGGAAGGAGAGGAGGUAGAAGAAGAGAAGGAAAAGGAGAAGUGGAAGAGCAAGGAGAGGAGGUAGAAGAGAAAGAAGAAGGAGGAAAAAGAAAAGAGGAGGAGGACGAAGGAGAAGAGGACGAAGAGGAGAGGGAGGGAGGGAGAAAGAGGAGGAGGAACAAGAGAUGGAGAAGGAGGAAGGCGAAGAAGAGUAGGAAUAGGAAGGAGAGGAGUUAGUAGAAGAAGAGAACGAAGAAAGAAAAGGAGAAGAGGAGGAUGAGGAAGGAAAAGUAAAGAGGAGGAGGGAGAAGGGUGAAGAGAAGGAAGAGGAGGAGGAAGAAAAGAAAGAAGGAAAAGGAGUAAAAGAGGAGGAAGGGAGUGAGAGGGAAUAGAAGGAGUAGAGGAGGAGGGGGAGAAGAAGAGGAGGAGGAAGAGAUGGAGAGGGAGAGAGGCGAGGAGGAAGAGGAAGAUGAAGGAGAAGAAAGGAGGUUUUUUUCAUAUUCUGGAAUAUCAUUUUUUUUCCUUUUUUUCAUAUUCUGAGAUACAGUAAAGGUGGGACCCAAGUCAAAACACAACAUAUGUUUGUUUUGUACAGGAUGAGUUUCUCUUGUCUGAAAUUCUUGGCACCAGAAGUAUUUGAGGUAUCUCCCUUCCCCAUUCAAUUUUGGGGAUACCUCAUUUUGGGGGCAGGAAGCAGGGGCAUGAUUAUUAUGUGAUGGGUUUUUUUGUCCUGUCAGGAGCGACUUAAGAAACUGCAAGUCCCUUCUAGUGUGAGAGAAUUGGCCAUCUGCAAGGACACUUCCCAGGAGAUGCCCAGAUGUUUUACCAUCGUGGGAGGCUUCUCUUAUGUCCCCGCAUGGAAAGCUGGAGCUGACAGAUGAGAGCUCCCCCCCCCUAGAUUUGAACUGCUGACCUUUCAAUCAGCAGUCUUGUGCCACCAGGGGCUCCUAUUAUGCAAGGGUGACUACUAUGUGGUUUAGAUGCGCCAUUUAAAGGAAUUUUUUGAUCACAUAAUAGUCAAAGUGUGGCAGUCACACCCUUAGUUUACUCAUCCGGGUGAACUAAGAGUGCGACUAUGUAUUAUGCGGAGAAAAUAAGAAGUCCUAUUUUGUCUUCCCCAAAAGUGGAGGUGCAACUAUUACGUGACGAUGACUAUUAUGCAAUGAGACAUAGUAUGUUUUAUGCAGGUUUCACAUCCCCUAUCCAAAAUGUUUAGGACCAGAAGUAUUUUGUAUUUUGAACCCCCCUCCUUAUUUUGUUAUAUAUGUAUUUAUGCAAAUCUUGGAGAUGGGAAGUAAGUUUAAACAAAAUUCAUUUGUGUUCCAUUCAAGUUGAAUCUCUUCUGGUAUGCUUGGGACCAGAAAUAUUUCAGAUAUUUUCGGAUAUAUAUACUUGCAUAUAUAUAUAUAUAUAUAUAUAUAAUCUCAGAAAUGGGAACCAAGUCUAAACACAAAAUGGAUACAUGUUUCACACACACAUACAUAUCAUUUUAAUAACUUUGUACAGGUUAAAUGUUUGUGUACACUGAACCACCAAGAAAGCAAAGGUGUCACUUUCUCAGCCACCCCUGUGGACAAUUUUGAGUUUAGGGUAUUUGGGAUUUAGGAAUCCUGGGUAAUUAUAUUCAAUUUGUAAUAUCAAGGAGGCUGAGAAUUUAGGGAAGGAUGGUCAAAGGAAUCUAUCAGAACUGGAAUCCUUUCUAGCUGGAAAUCUUAUGGGUAAGCUGCACCAGUUAGGCACUCAAGAAGGAAUAUAAUGGGCUUUUCUAUGUUUUCAGGUGGACAGGUUCAGAAAUAUACCUACUUUUUGUCUCUUUUUCUUUAUUUGGCUUUCCCAAUGAAUUCAAAGGGGACAUUUCAUGAGUAUGAUUGUCAUGGUUUGCACAUUGGACUAGUGCUUGCAGACCAGGGUUCAAAUCCCUGCUCAGCCAUGGAAACUCACUGAGUGACCUCGCACAAGUCACACUCAGCCUCCAAGAAGGGCAAGGAUAAACCACUUCUGAACAAAUCUUGCAAAGAAAACCCUGUAAGAGGGUCACCUUAUGGUUACCAUAGGUCAGAAACAACCUAAAGGCAACCAACAGCGACUUCUGAGUAGUACAGUUCAGGAUUGUGGACAUAAAAGUCAUUCUCUAAUAUGUGAUGUGUGCAGAGCUACUAUUGUCAGUUUUUGGUUGAGGAAUUUUGGGUUCUUUUCUUUGUUCUGACAAAUGGUGCUUCGUUUCAUGUGCCAAUUUGUGUGUGUUUGAUGGACGUGAAAUGUGAGCCCUGUAAUGGCUAGAAUGUUUAUAUGUUGGAAUAAGGUUCCGAUAUUCAUGUGAAGUUCUGGAAUGUGCAGGGGUCAUACUGUAUCUCAUUAAACUACAGAUUCCAAGGUUCCACAGCAUGGAGCCAUGACAUUAAAAAAAACUACCCUGAUUGUAGUGUGGAUACACCCACUAUGCCUGCUUAUACUGUUCAGUGACUACUAGUCAUAAUGACUAUAUAUUACCUCCUGCACUGAAGAAUGACCCACAGAAUAUAUAAAAGAGAUAUUGACAAACUGGAAAGUGUCCAGAGAGCGGUGGCUAAAAUGAUCAAAGAUCUGGAUACCAUGUCCUAUGAAGAGUGUCUUAAAGAGCUGGCUCUUAAAUAGGAAGAAGAUUUAUGCAUUUUCUUGUCGUUGGCACAAAGACAGGAACAAGGCAGUAAUAAUCAGAAUGGCUUUGGAGACCACAGUGGAGUGGAACGGUUUACAGUCACCAUUAUGAUCAAUGAAAACUGGCACACAGCCGCUUUCUUUCUGCCUUCAGUGCAGUUAUGGAAUUUAAAUAAAACUGCCUCAAGGCAGCUGCAAAGAGUUACCAAGCUUUUUCAAAGAACACCAUAAUAUUAUGAAUUUGGUCUGGAAUUUUUUAAAAUGCCUUGUGAAACAGUAUCAUGUCUUUGCUUUGUUUUGUUUCUUUAAUCAAAUAAAUCCUGUAUCCUCAGCAAAGUGCAAUAUGCAAAAUGACUCUCUGGAGGAUGAGAGUGAAGAUUUUUGAUUGCUUCAUAAGAUUUCAGAAGGAAACAUUUUUGUAUUGUGAUGUUUUUGUUCUAGAAAAGCAAUAGGAAAGUUUUUCAUUUCUGUUUGGACUUCUCUUUGGUGCUGACUUCCGAUCUGCCCCUUUUAAAACAUCGUAUUUCAAAAUAGUGAAAUCUUCCUGCCAGAAACAAAUAAAAUUGUUCAGCUUGUACUUUCUAGAGAGCAGGAAAAAUUCAUUCAUUCAGAAGGAAUUGUUCUUUUCCUCCCAUCAAUGUGGUGUGAAGUGAAUAAAAGAUACUACCGUA
This is a long non-coding RNA of Anolis carolinensis (green anole), 3467 nucleotides long. RefSeq lists it as uncharacterized. NCBI's taxonomy places the organism in Eukaryota, Metazoa, Chordata, Lepidosauria, Squamata, Anolidae. The transcript is spliced from 3 exons. The record is from RefSeq and is a predicted model, not a curated record.